GCCUUUUGCUCUAUUGUUCAUUAAAACCUUUUAUCUCCACCAGAGGGCGCCAUCAUCCAGUAGGCGGAGCUCUCCUUGUGCUCUGUGUUCCAGCAUUGUGUCAAUAAUAAGUGUUGCUGUGAAGAGAACAAUAGUCAGACUGAAUGUUGAACAUCAGCUAGUUUCUCCUGCUGAUUUAAACCUUGUUGGACAGAUGGAACAUUGGCUGUGGAUUAUUCUAGCUGCUCUUUUCUUUGAGUGUAAAGGAGACUCAGUGACGCAGACAGAAGGACAUGUUGCUGCUGCUAAAGGAAAAUCUGUGACGCUGGGAUGUAUUUUUGAAACCAGUGAUCCAUAUCCUUAUCUUUUCUGGUACCAGCAAAAGGAAGGCAGUUCUCCAACCUACAUGUUGAAUCGUUACUCAGGAACUGCAGCGAAUGAUCCAAAGUUCAGCACAGACAGAUUUAAUGCUGAUCUCAACACAGGGACACAAAAGAAAUCAGUAAAUUUGACGAUCCAGGAUCUUCGUCUUUCUGACUCUGCUGUGUACUACUGUGCUCUGAGGCCCACAGUGACAGGAAACACCAGAACUCUGUACAAGAACCUGCAAUACUCCACUACAUCCACUAGAGGUCCUCAAACACUGUUCCUCCUCUAUG
Non-coding RNA from Cyprinodon variegatus (sheepshead minnow), 638 nucleotides. NCBI's taxonomy places the organism in Eukaryota, Metazoa, Chordata, Actinopteri, Cyprinodontiformes, Cyprinodontidae. The record is from the annotation of a RefSeq genome assembly.